GUGUCAGCCGCCGCGGUAAAACGUAGGUGGCAAGCGUUAUCCGGAUUUACUGGGUGUAAAGCGUGUGCAGGCGGUUCUGUAAGUAGCGCGUGAAAGCGCCCGGCUUAACCGGGCGAGGACGUGCUGUACUGCAGAACUGGAGGCUGGUAGAGGCGAGUGGAAUUCCGGGUGUAGUGGUGAAAUGCGUAGAGAUCCGGAGGAACACCAGAGGCGAAGGCGACUCGCUGGGCCAGAACUGACGCUCAGACACGACAGCAUGGGGAGCGAACGGGAUUAGAUACCCCUGUAGUCC
This 292-nucleotide ribosomal RNA is filed under the name uncultured bacterium. Its description in RNAcentral is "partial 16S ribosomal RNA". It matches the Rfam family "Bacterial small subunit ribosomal RNA", at positions 505 to 796 of the family's 1533-position model. The record is from RNAcentral.